AGGGUGGCUGUGUACAAGUAAGGUACAGCUAAGAUACAGCUACUAUACAGCUACAAGACAAGACAAGUCACACUCCUAUAUAGCUAUAGGACAAGACAAAUCAUACAGCUAACAUCCUCCCUCAAACUCAAGAUGGUAACGAAGAUGCUAACUUGAGUUUGUGAACCAAAUUCCGAUGACGCCCUGGUAGAUGAGCCUUCGUAAAAAUAUCAGCGAGCUGAUCUGCAGAAGCAACAUGUAUCAACUGAAGAGUGCCUUGCUUGAUAUGAUGCCG
This 274-nucleotide long non-coding RNA is filed under the name Phoenix dactylifera (date palm). RNAcentral's name for it is "long non-coding RNA (PDAC_LNC000223)". The record is from RNAcentral. Lineage: Eukaryota; Viridiplantae; Streptophyta; Magnoliopsida; Arecales; Arecaceae.